UAAUGAAGCAAGCAAGGUAGUAAGCACAGAAACUGAAUCGGGUGUUUAGGCUCGUUCUCUCUAAUGCCUUCUGGCUUUGAUUUGGGGGGCAUAGUUCCCCAGCACACCA
Rhododendron vialii is the source of this 109-nucleotide small nucleolar RNA. RefSeq annotates it as small nucleolar RNA snoR100. The record is from RefSeq and is a predicted model, not a curated record. The transcript has a single exon. NCBI's taxonomy places the organism in Eukaryota, Viridiplantae, Streptophyta, Magnoliopsida, Ericales, Ericaceae.